UCUCUGGUGGUCUAGUGGUUAGGAUUAGGCACUGUCACUGCUCUGGCCCAGGUUCAAUCCCUGGUCUAGGAA
RNAcentral lists this transfer RNA (72 nucleotides) under Sus scrofa (pig). It matches the Rfam family "tRNA". Rfam says of the family: Transfer RNA (tRNA) molecules are approximately 80 nucleotides in length. Their secondary structure includes four short double-helical elements and three loops (D, anti-codon, and T loops). Lineage: Eukaryota; Metazoa; Chordata; Mammalia; Artiodactyla; Suidae. The record is from Rfam by way of RNAcentral. RNAcentral also lists the same sequence under 1 other name.